This 254-nucleotide ribosomal RNA is filed under the name uncultured bacterium. RNAcentral's name for it is "partial 16S ribosomal RNA". It matches the Rfam family "Bacterial small subunit ribosomal RNA", at positions 524 to 776 of the family's 1533-position model. The record is from RNAcentral.
UACGUAGGGUGCGAGCGUUGUCCGGAAUUAUUGGGCGUAAAGAGCUCGUAGGCGGCCUGUCGCGUCGGUCGUGAAAACUUGGGGCUUAACCCUGAGCUUGCGGUCGAUACGGGCAUGACUGGAGUUCGGCAGGGGAGACUGGAAUUCCUGGUGUAGCGGUGGAAUGCGCAGAUAUCAGGAGGAACACCGGUGGCGAAGGCGGGUCUCUGGGCAGUAACUGACGCUGAGGAGCGAAAGCGUGGGGAGCGAACAGG